UUUCUUUUACCUCUUCGCUAUAUUCAACUUUCUCUGAACUGGUCUCUUCACAUACUUCAUUGACUGGGGAGCUGUCAACAUUUUCCUUUUGACCAUUAUCACUCUGAAUAGGCUCGUCACUUUUUACUUCAUGUUCUUCACUUUCUACCUGAGAUUUUGUUUGUGAUGUGAUGCAAUCAUCAUGCAACAGUUCUUGCUGCUUGGUUUCAACACUUGGUUUGAUUUCUUUAGUAUCUUCCUCUUGCUCAAUCUCUGAACAAGAUUGAACAGUUUUGUUGUCGCUUUCAUCAGGCUUUUGUUCUGUUUUGUCCUAUUAGAGAAAAAGUAUUCAGUUAGAUAUGAUGAUUUAUAUAAAUAGGCUCAAAGUUUUUAAAAACAAUCUCUGUGGUAGGUUUUUUUCAUUGUUCUUUUUUAAGAUAAUUGUGAGUGACAGUUGUUCUUUAUAACAUUAACAUGAUUCUACAUUGCUUAGUAAUAAAACAUUAAAAGUUUUAGUAGGAAAGAUAUACAAGUAAAACCUUUUGGAUUGUUCAGAGUUAACAUGGGAUGAACACGAAUUACCUCUUGAGCAUCAAUUGCACUCUGAUUCGGCUCCUCGAACUCGAUAUCAGCCACUGGGGUAGCCUUUUGACCAAUUAUUGUUUCUUUUAUAUCCUCGCUGGAUGCAUUCUGUGAGCUUGUAACAUCAUCUCCACCACCUUGGACUUCUUUUGACAUUUUAAUCUCUUGUUCCUUUUCUUGAUUUUCCUCAUUGUUCACUAUUUCAUUCUCAUUCAAUUCAGAUUCAGCCUUCUCUGAGCUUGUUGCUUCACAUACUUCCUUCACCAAGGGGCUUUCAGACUUAUCUGUUUGACCAUCAUCAUUCACCAAUGCCUCUUCAUCAAUCUUUAUAUCAUCUUUUGUUUCGGCACUAGAUUUGAUUUCUUCAGUAUCUUCCUCUAAAUACUCUCUAGGUUUGACAAAUUCGGGUUCCUUACCUUCAUCAUCAUAUUUUGUUUCUGGUAAGUCCUGUAUAGAAGUUGCAUCUUGUGAGAAAGUGACAUCAUCUUUUCCUUGGUCUUCUUCUGAAAUGAUGGACUCUUGUUCUUGUUCUUGUUCUUUUUCUUUUUCUUGAUGUUCAUCUUUGUCAGAAGGUUCUACCCCUUCAAAUUUACCCUUCUCUAAGUGAGUUUCUUCACAUACUUCAGUCACAUCUUCAUCGUCUGUAAUCUUUACCUGCUCCUUUUCAUCUGUUUCCACACUUGGCUUGAUUUCUUCAGCAUUUUCAUUUUUGUUGACACUUUCCUCGGGCUUUUGUUCUAUUUUUUCAUUUGCUCCACUCUCAUCCUGCUCACUUGCCUAUAUGAACACAAGUAUUUUGAGUACAUGUGGAGAAUAAAAGUAACACAUCAUGAUAAGUCUAAUGCAUAGUCAAACUUUUAAAACAAUCUUUGUGGCAGCUUCAAAAAAAUUUGUGAGCCAAAUUUGCUAUAAACUACUUUAUAGAAUGGUUUUCUCUAAACAUUUAUCGUUUUAUGAACUCUAACUCUUCUCAACAAAUGAAACUAAACGUUUGGAUGAGACAAGCAUUUGACAUUAAAAUUAUGUAUGAAAAUCAUAAUAUUGUCUUAUACUUUUAUAAAUUAAACAUAAAACUAGUAAGAAUUAGCCUUAACAUUUAACAAUACAUUAGUAUAAUAUGUGAUUUUUAGUUUCUCUUACACAUGAGAUAAGAAAAUAUGUAGCAGACAACAACAUUUCCAUAUGUCAUAAUGAUUAUAGCAUUUCAAAUUCUAGUAAGACUGAUCUACAAUUAAAACUGUAAAACCUUUUAGGAAUAGUUAGGUUUACUUAGAAUGAACAUGAAUUACCUCUUGCACAUCAGUUGAUUUGUCCUCUGCUUCUUCCUUAAGGAUCUCCUUAGGCGUUGAGUUUAGAGCCUGUUCCUCCUCUAAAUAGGCCACUGUAGUAACAUGCUCACCAGUUGUUGUUUCUUUUAUAUCCUCAAAUGUUGCAUCUUGUGAACUUGUAACAUCAUCCCCUAAACCUUUUCCUGACACAUAAACCUCUUGUUCCUUUUCUUCAUCUUCAACUUUGCUUGCUAUUUCGUUUUCAUUCAGAUCGAUAUUAACACUGUCAGAAAGUUUUAACCCUUCUUCAGAUUCAACCUUCUCUGAGACAGUCUCUUCACAUACUUCCUUCACCAUGGUCUCUGUAUUAGAACUAUCAGAGUAGUUCACCUCUUCUUUAUAUUCAAUUUUCUCUGAACUAGCCUCUUCACAUACUUCAACACUUGGUUUGGUUUCUUCAGUAUCUUUCUCUUGCUCAAUUUCUGAACCAGACUGUACAAUUUUGUUGUCACUUUCUGCAGACUUUUGUUCUUUUUUGUCCUAUUAGAGAAGAAAUAUUCAGUAUAUUAUACGACUGAAAGAAAAGAAAUGAUGAUUUAUAUAAACAGGCUUAAAGUUUUUAAAAACAAUCUUAAGGGUAGGUUUUUUUCAUUGUUAUUCUAUAAAAUAAAUGUGAGCGACAGUUGUACUUUAUAACAUGAAUCUACAUUGGUUAGUGAUAAAAAAAAGCAUUUCAAGUUUUAGUUGGAAUGAUGUACAAGUAAAACCUUUUGGAUUGUUUAGGAGUUAACAUGGUAUGAACAUGAUUUACCUCUUGAACAUCAAUCACACUCUGAUUCUGCUCCUCGAACUCGAUAUUAGCCACUGGGGUAGCCUGUUGACCAAUUGUUGUUUCUUUUAUAUCCUCACUGGAUGCAUUCUGUGAUCUUGUAACAUCAUCUCCACCACCUUGGACUUCUUCUGACAUUUUAAGCUCUUGUUCCUUUUCUUGAUUUUCCUCUUUGCUCACUAUUUCGUUCUCAUUCAAUUCAGAUUCAGCCUUCUCUGAGGUUGUCGCAUCAUAUACUUCCUUCACCAAGGGGCUUUCAGACUUCUUUGUUUGAUCAUCAUCAUUCACUAAUGCCUCUUCAUCAAUCUUUAUAUCAUCUUUUGUAUCAGCACUAGAUUUGAUUUCUUGAGUAUCUUCGUCUAUAUUCUCUCUAGGUUUGACAAAUACAGGUAAGUUCUCUAUAGUGGUUGCAUCUUGUGAGCAUGUGAUAUCAUCUUUUCCUUGGUCUUCUUCUGAAAUGAUGGACUCUUGUUCUUUUUCUUUUUCUUGAUCUUUAUCAUUGUCAGAAGGUUCUACCCCUUCAAAAUUUCCCUUCUCUAAUUGAGUUUCUGCACAUACUUCAAUCACAUCUUCUUCAUAGUCUGUAAUCUUCACUUGUUCCUUUUCAUCUAUUUCCACACUUGGCUUGAUUUCUUCGGUAUCUUCAAUUUUGUUGACAAUUUCCUCGGGAUUUUGUUCUAUUUUUUCGUUUGCUCCACUCUCAUACUGCUCGCUUGCCUACAUGAAAACAAGUAUUUUGAGUACAUGUGGAGAAUGAAAGUAAUACAUCAUGAUAAGUCUAAUGCAUAGUCAAAGUUUUAAAACAAUCUUUGUGGCAGCUUCCAAAAAAAUUGUGAGCCAAAGUUGCUAUAAACUACUUUAUAGAAUGGUUUUCUCUAAACAUUUAUCAUCUUAUGAACACUAACUCUUCUCAACAAAUGAAAUUAAACCUUUGGAGGAGACAAGCAUUUGACAUUAAAACUAUGUAUGAAAAUCAUAAUAUUGUCUUAUAUUUUUAUAGAUUAAACAUAGAACUAAUAAGAACUCUAACUCUUCACUUACUUGUUGCUCCGUUUCAACACUAGGUUUGAUAUCUUCAGUAUCUUCCCCUUGCUCUGUUUCUGAAGAAGACUUUGCACUUUUGUUGACAAUUUCCUCAGGCUUUUGCUCACUUUUUUCCUCUGCCUCAUUAUCGCACUUCUUGCUUGCCU
This 3848-nucleotide long non-coding RNA is filed under the name Lactuca sativa (garden lettuce). RNAcentral describes it as "long non-coding RNA (LSAT_LNC004763)". The record is from RNAcentral. Lineage: Eukaryota; Viridiplantae; Streptophyta; Magnoliopsida; Asterales; Asteraceae.